RNAcentral lists this transfer RNA (76 nucleotides) under Candidatus Altimarinota bacterium. RNAcentral describes it as "Candidatus Gracilibacteria bacterium tRNA-Lys". It matches the Rfam family "tRNA". From Rfam's summary of the family: Transfer RNA (tRNA) molecules are approximately 80 nucleotides in length. Their secondary structure includes four short double-helical elements and three loops (D, anti-codon, and T loops). Further hydrogen bonds mediate the characteristic L-shaped molecular structure. tRNAs have two regions of fundamental functional importance: the anti-codon, which is responsible for specific mRNA codon recognition, and the 3' end, to which the tRNAs corresponding amino acid is attached (by aminoacyl-tRNA synthetases). tRNAs cope with the degeneracy of the genetic code in two manners: having more than one tRNA (with a specific anti-codon) for a particular amino acid; and 'wobble' base-pairing, i.e. permitting non-standard base-pairing at the 3rd anti-codon position. The record is from RNAcentral. Lineage: Bacteria; Candidatus Altimarinota.
GGACUUGUAGCUCAGUUGGUAGAGCAGCGCCCUUUUAAGGCGAAGGUCCCGGGUUCGAGCCCCGGCGAGUCCACCA